UACGAAGGGGGCUAGCGUUGCUCGGAAUCACUGGGCGUAAAGGGCGCGUAGGCGGCGCAACAAGUCACUUGUGAAAUCUCCGGGCUUAACCCGGAGCGGCCAAGUGAUACUGUCGUGCUAGAGUGCGGAAGGGGCUACUGGAAUUCUCGGUGUAGCGGUGAAAUGCGUAGAUAUCGAGAGGAACACCUGCGGCGAAGGCGGGUAGCUGGGCCGACACUGACGCUGAGGCGCGAAAGCCAGGGGAGCGAACGGG
This 253-nucleotide ribosomal RNA is filed under the name uncultured bacterium. Its description in RNAcentral is "partial 16S ribosomal RNA". It matches the Rfam family "Bacterial small subunit ribosomal RNA", at positions 524 to 776 of the family's 1533-position model. The record is from RNAcentral.